GCAGCGACACUAUGUGUUGUUGGGUAGGGGAGCGUUCUGUAAGCCUGCGAAGGUGACCUGUGAGGGUUGCUGGAGGUAUCAGAAGUGCGAAUGCUGACAUAAGUAACGAUAAAGCGGGUGAAAAGCCCGCUCGCCGGAAGACCAAGGGUUCCUGUCCAACGUUAAUCGGGGCAGGGUGAGUCGACCCCUAAGGCGAGGCCGAAAGGCGUAGUCGAUGGGAAACAGGUUAAUAUUCCUGUACUUGGUGUUACUGCGAAGGGGGGACGGAGAAGGCUAUGUUAGCCGGGCGACGGUUGUCCCGGUUUAAGCAUGUAGGCUGGUUAUCCAGGCAAAUCCGGAUAAUCAAGGCUGAGGUGUGAUGACGAGGCACUACGGUGCUGAAGUAACAAAUGCCCUGCUUCCAGGAAAAGCCUCUAAGCAUCAGGUAACAUCAAAUCGUACCCCAAACCGACACAGGUGGUCAGGUAGAGAAUACCAAGGCGCUUGA
Molecule: ribosomal RNA, 487 nt
Filed under: Klebsiella pneumoniae
Lineage: Bacteria; Pseudomonadati; Pseudomonadota; Gammaproteobacteria; Enterobacterales; Enterobacteriaceae
Description: partial 23S ribosomal RNA
Rfam family: Bacterial large subunit ribosomal RNA
Source: RNAcentral